GUCCACGCUGUAAACGAUGGAUGCUAGACGUAGUGGGACUUGACCCCUACUGUGUCGAAGUUAACACGAUAAGCAUCCCGCCUGGGAAGUACGGUCGCAAGACUAAAACUCAAAGGAAUUGACGGGGGCCCGCACAAGCGGUGGAUCAUGUGGUUUAAUUCGAAGCAACGCGAAGAACCUUACCUGGGUUUGACAUCCCUUUGAAUAUACCUAGAGAUAGGAAUAGACUCGCAAGAGACAGAGGAGACAGGUGCUGCAUGGCUGUCGU
RNAcentral lists this ribosomal RNA (268 nucleotides) under uncultured bacterium. RNAcentral's name for it is "partial 16S ribosomal RNA". It matches the Rfam family "Bacterial small subunit ribosomal RNA", at positions 793 to 1055 of the family's 1533-position model. The record is from RNAcentral.